This 1318-nucleotide long non-coding RNA is filed under the name Anser cygnoides (Swan goose). RNAcentral's name for it is "lncRNA (ENSACDG00005013987.1)". The record is from RNAcentral. Lineage: Eukaryota; Metazoa; Chordata; Aves; Anseriformes; Anatidae.
AUCUCCCCCUCGAAGGCAUUUGAACUCAGUUCUUAAAUUCAAGCUGGUAAAACAGUAUUUUAAGGAACAGUCACAGCAAGACUGACGCCGGCUGGUGGCCACUUGGAGGGGCCAGUGCUGAUCCACGAACACCCCCUUGCAAAGGUGGCUGCUGUGGGGUUGCUGCUGGUGCUAAAUUCUGGCGUCUGGGGUGGGGGGACCUGAGUCUGUGAUUUUUUGUUCCUCUGGAUUUUUUGUUCCUUUUCCAUUUGCUUGCAAGCACAGCAGAUUGGUGUUUCCCUUGGUCGCCACAGGAUUAGGGCAGAUAGACCCUCCUGGGCAAAGUCUAGUUGGCAACUCAGAAAUUGCUCAAAAAAACCAACCAACCAAACAAACAAAAAAAACGCAUCCCAGGGUCUUCCUCAGGCAGAACUCAUUUGAGCUGAAUGAAAGAGCAGCUUCUCACUGCUGCCAUCCUGCUGCCCAUGGCUUGGGCUGGAAAGCAGCAGCACUGCCGGGACAGCGAGGAGCCACUGCUGCCGGGAGGUUUCACUCCAUCCUUAUGCUUUCUCCUUGCUCCAAAAUCCUUAAAGUUGAUUUUUUUUCUUUUUUCUUUUUUUUUUUUUUCCCCAGUUAAAACCAGCGAGGGAUAAAUUUUUCUGCAGUCACAGCGAUGGGGGAGCUAACACAAGCCCAGCCGGCUGGAAGUGAGGCGCAGCCCUCGAGCAAAGCUGCCCCUACGCACACGCAUUUGGGGAUGCAGGGUGGGAUGUCCCAAAGCCAAGUGUCCAUGAGAAAGCCUCCUGGGAACAGCACAGCUGAGGCAUGACCGAGAUCCCAGUACAAAAGAGACAGGGAUCUCCUGGAAAGAGGCAAGUGGAGGGCCACAAAGAUGAUACGGGGCCUGGAGCAUCUCCCCUGGGAGGAGAGGCCGAGAGACCUGGGUCUGGUCAGCCUUGGGAAGAGAAGGCCGAGAGGGGAUCUGAUCGAUGUCUGUAAAUACCUGAGCUGUGGGAGACAGAGGGACACGGCCGACCUCUUUUCAGUGCUCUGUGGGGACAGGACAAGGGGCAGCGGCCACAAAAUGGAGCCCAGGCAGUUCCGCACCAACACGCGAAAGAACUUCUUCCCGGUGAGGGUGACGGAGCGCUGGGACAGGCUGCCCAGGGAGGCUGUGGGAGAUGCUCAAUUCCUCUCCUUUCACCAGCACCGCCGAUGCAGUGGAGCUGCUCUUGCACCGCUGCAGAUGGUGGGAAGCCAGCCCGGAGGGUCAGGAUUUCCUGCAGGGCUGCCGUGCCCAGCUCUGCACAAUCAUUUUGCCCAAGUGGGUAAAACAUAG